RNAcentral lists this ribosomal RNA (253 nucleotides) under uncultured bacterium. RNAcentral's name for it is "partial 16S ribosomal RNA". It matches the Rfam family "Bacterial small subunit ribosomal RNA", at positions 524 to 776 of the family's 1533-position model. The record is from RNAcentral.
UACGUAGGGACCGAGCGUUGUCCGGAAUCAUUGGGCGUAAAGAGCGUGUAGGCGGCUGACCAAGUCCUGCGUGAAAUCUUGCGGCUCAACCGCAAGCGGUCGUGGGAAACUGGUCGGCUAGAGUGCGGGAGAGGAGAGUGGAAUUCCUGGUGUAGCGGUGAAAUGCGCAGAUAUCAGGAAGAACACCCGUGGCGAAGGCGGCCAUCUGGACCAGCACUGACACUGAGGCACGAAAGCGUGGGGAGCAAACAGG